Molecule: ribosomal RNA, 265 nt
Filed under: uncultured archaeon
Lineage: Archaea
Description: partial 16S ribosomal RNA
Rfam family: Archaeal small subunit ribosomal RNA
Source: RNAcentral
AGUCACUGACAUUAGAUACCCGGGUAGUCCAGGGUGUAAACGCUGCAGACUUGGUGUUGGAGGCCCUUUGGGGGCAUUCAGUGCCGGAGAGGAGUUGUUAAGUCUGCUACUUGGGGAGUACGUCCGCAAGGAUGAAACUUAAAGGAAUUGGCGGGGGAGCACCGCAACGGGAGGAGCGUGCGGUUUAAUUGGAUUCAACACCGUAAAACUCACCAGGGAAGACUGUUACAUGAAGGCCGAGAUGAAGACUCUGCUAGAUUUUCAG